Bacillus rossius redtenbacheri is the source of this 4986-nucleotide RNA transcript. RefSeq lists it as uncharacterized. NCBI's taxonomy places the organism in Eukaryota, Metazoa, Arthropoda, Insecta, Phasmatodea, Bacillidae. The transcript has 3 exons. The record is from RefSeq and is a predicted model, not a curated record.
CAGCUACCUUCCUCGGAUGCAGUCGCAACUGCUGCUUCUCGUGAUGUCUCUUCGUUACCGGGUCGGCAUGGAUGGACACUCACAGCAGCCGGCUGCCCUACCCGAGGGACAGACCUGUCGCUCCGGCCAGCCUGGAGAAUGUGUGAGGUGAGUUUAGGUAGUGUGUGGAGCAGCGACGGAAUGAAUUGUUGGGGAAACAGGAGCACUCCAAGAAAACGUAAAGGCUACAGUUACUAUUUUACACUAAUGUUUUAUAUAUGCAAUCGAUAGAUUAUGACGAGAACUGAGGAUUGAAAAUGAAACGAAGGUCGUAUUUCUCUGAGUCAAACGUUAUACUAAAUGGAAUUUUUUAAACUCAGCAAAAUGACCUCUAAAUGAAGGCGCUUCCCCCUUCACCACGUGCGAUGCGUCACAGUCCUUCACUUAGCGUAUCGAAUUCUUUGAUUCUUUAGCUAUCCAGUGGUGUGAUUAAAUUUUGGAUGGAGAUUAUAGAUAUGUAGCUGCAAAUUCAAACUGUAUCCCCCGAGUUUGUUAUUAUUCGUAUUUUGAAUGGCCUCCCAAUAUAGAAGAAAUUUUAAAACAUAUUCAAGACCGCGGCCUUAGUGUCAUUAACUGUAGCUGCGGCCUUUCCUCGCACGACAGCCCCCCUCCCCUAGAGAGCUGUUGCUGGAGUCGCCCUUGUGACGAAUCACGGCGCGAGCUGCCUCGGCCCCGCCUCUCCGGGACUGGAGACUCCAGCUCAGCAGAGCGCGGCCCACGCAGUACAGCGGAGUCGCCAGAGACCAAGUGAAUGUGGUCCGCGGCGACCCCGGAUAAGGAAAAUCUCCGAUAACUCGGAUAGGAUAAUCUCGUCUUUCAGUCGGCACGACAUGCCAUUUAUUUCCUGGUGAUGUUUUACCAGCUUUUCUACUUUGUAUUUUAUUUCACGUCACUUCAUGACUUGCGCAAUUAAUAAAUGAAAUUUUUUUAGGUUACCUAACUGUUAGAUCGUUUUCUAGGUCCUUAAGAUAAUAUAGGUUGUCCAUAAAAGAAAGUCUUAGUGUAAAUGUUACAUUAUAUCAGUUAAAUUUCGAUUAAUUACAACAAAUCAAAAAACCAAUUUUAUAGGUGUACUAAACUAGAUUUUCCAUACAAAAUGUUCAAUAUUUCCAGAUUUAGCUAUAAGGCACACAUCCAACCUCAAGGCCAUUUCUUUCUACACUUGUUUAUCACAUCAGGAGUAAUGCUUCUUUAAUUCUGACUCUCAACUUUGGCAAAUCAUUAGGUAGCCUAAAAUGACACAUUUGUGUGGCAUUUUGUUAGAUGAACGUGAAGGCCAGCGAAAAAGAGCUAUGUCGACUCGCAUUGCCUAUACCAUAUUCUGGAUGUUUUUUUGGCCAACAUGGCGAUAUCACAAUAUAACUUUAAAAGAAACGCACGUUCAACUGAAAUACGGAUUCACUCUUAGUGAAUCGCAGGACACAAAACACAAAAACUAUUUACGCUCUGGGGUCGCGCCAUUUUGUGCAGGUGGCGCUGCAUGCGAGAAAACAAGAAGCUAUACUAGCGCAUGGGCUUGUCUAAAACUGUUUUGAGUUACUCUUCAAUUGUGACAUCGGACAAAACCUCUAUGAGCCCGUCUACAAUAGUCCGAACCUGUGCGUGGUCCGUGUCCUUAUCCGAAUGUGUGUGACGUCACAUUGUCUCACCGAAAACUACCCUGUCCACAAUUGCGAUGUCCGAUGUCUGCAUUAACUGAUUUCUAAAGUUGUCACCAGAGCGCAGUAAAUGUGCCAAACCAAAUGUUUUUGUUUAUUGUUUUUGAAGCUUUGUAGUUUGAGAUUGAACUUAUGAAAAUUGUGGGAGUUCAAUAUUAUAUAUUUAUUCAGUAAGGCAAAUUGGCAAAUGUAAAUGCUAAAAAAUGAACUCAUAUCACAUUUCAAACAGGAACCGGAAAUUCAAAUAUAGUGAGUGUUCUGUUCUCUUUCUGUGUCCGAAGUACACAGGUUGGGACAAAAAGUUCAAAUUGACGAAUGUCUUCCGACCAGGUAGGUUCGGACCUUCGCCCACUUGACGAAUGACGUCAGAGUGUCACGUGGACCAAUCAGCGACGAGUGUCCUUCGGACACAGUUUCGGACAUUGCUAUUGUAGACGGGCCUUAUAACACAUACAGUUGAUACUGUUAGAAUGAAUAUUUGGGACAGUUUCUUAUGGACACGGAGUGUUUGAAGAGUGUUUGCCGGUGAUGGCGCUGCGGGCGAGCUCGGGGCUCGGACUGACCUCUGCGCGGGUCCGACUUGAGGAUGCGGCGAGCCACCAGCAGCCAAUCAGGCAGCAGCCGCACGCACCAGACCGGAUACAGCCGAGCGGUACCCGAGCUGCAAACACAACAACUCUCUAUGCGCUCGACCGCACGGCACAGACCAACCACUGCAUCCCGUGACAGUCGCUGUCGUCAGCGACUGAACAAGCUGUUCCAAUUUCACACAAGUUUACGGACUUUUUAAUUGUGUUUUGCAAAAUAAAAGUCAGCAUAAACUAAACGAAUUGCUCUUCAAUGUUAGAGACCCGGUAUUUCAGGCACGUUAUUGUUUUGGUUGCAAGGAUAGACUGCAAACUCUGCAUUCCUUUAACGACUGUAUCACAAUGCUUUCGACACUCCUCUUUACAACGGUGGACCAGUUAACUUCAUCAUCGUGGAAAGCGAGGGCCCGAGUCACGAUGACCCAUUAAAAAGAAGAGGGAAAAAAGAAGGUUUCGCAGUAGCGAAUCAGCCAGUGGGCAAGCAAGUAGUGUAUUUAAGAACCUUCCCAAAAUUAAUUUUUGUAUUUUCCGGGUCACGAUGCAUGGUUCCGGAUGACUACACAUUCGUAAAAGCUACGCCGUCUUUCUAAUCCAGAGCAACAACGGACGUGGAAGGAAUGUGAGUGUUUUUGUUCUGGGUGUAAGAAGAUUUCGAACGUUCAAUAAAUAUCCCAGUUGAAUUUGUUAAGUCAGCUCUAAACUCACACAUUUACAAAUGUACAAACAGCCGUGGAUAAUUCGUGGCCAAGGUUCCUUGUCAGUUCCAGGCGAACACUCACAGCAGCGCGUUCGGAAUUGUUUUAUCUUUUGCUUGGAUUGCUUGUGGUGGUUGUCUCGUGUGACAGGCCUUCUGCACUCACCCCUGGGCCCUGUUCGCUACACGGGGCCGCUUCCUGGGCAGCAGCGGGACGUCGGAUUUCCUGUCAAUAUCCAGUUUCCGCUUCCGUGAGGCCGCAGCGACUUGCAGGUGGCCCCUGCAAGCAGCGGUCCAAACUAUGAGGAUCUGCGCAGCUACGGACCUGAGGCUCCUCCGCCUGCCCGCUCCGUCGUGGUCACUGGUGCCCGCCCGCUAUUCGCUGCGUCUACGAGGCCGCCCGCCUCUUUCGCUGUCUGAGUCCGUGGAUGCGUCCAUGCGACUCCGUCAUUCGGAGUUCCGAAUUAGCAUGCUGCUGUGCGGCUCUUCCCUGGCUCACCCUGAGGUGCCUACUUGAGUCGCCGCGGUUGAUGGAUGAUGUCCCUGGGUGAGCGAGUGGGCGGCUGCUUUGACGUGCUGGCGUGCCGGCGUGCUGGCGUGAGAUUCCAUUCCGCCAGUCUUGAGCUGAGAUGCAUGCCGCAUGCGAGCCUGCACGAUGCACGCAAUGGCAUCUGGAAGCCCUCGUCCCCUGUAAGCAUGCAACCCGCUCGACAGGGGAGCGAGGUGAAGAGUCGAACCUGCCAGGCGCCAUCGGCGUCAGCUGCUGUGGGGACGCCUGCGGCAGUUACGUCCGGAAUUGCGUCUGUCUGUCGACGUACGAGCUUUGGAGCUCGUUGCUACAAUUUGUUUCAAAAAUGAACUUUCCUGGGACGUCCCUCAAGAUCAAGAAAAGUCUUCAGCGCUGAAGAUGCUCCUUUUGGUCUUUGUAUUAGACCUAUGUAAUCCUUCAAGAAUCCUUGGCCAUUAUAUAUGGAGUGUAAACCUUGUAUGAUAAUAAGUUUAGACUGACAGUUAAAAUUGUAAUCGCCAUGAAAUUGAACAGUGACUUUGUCUUGAAGAUGGAGAAGGCGGUGGGUACCGUGGUUUAAGGGCAGGGGAGAUGUAGCGGUUUGAACUGUGCGCGCCGCAUCGGCCUCCGCCACUCCGCUCCCCUCCUCCCCCCCUCCUAGUGGUUGUACUAUGUCUACUUGUUCACCCCCCCCCCCUCCUUGAUUGGCGCAUGCGCGCGCUGCGGCGCGAUGUUAUAAAAGGAGCUGCAAAUUGGUCAGGAGCCUCUUUCUUCCUUGAUUUUAGUCAGGCUCGGUUGUCAGCUGUUGUAAUCUACGAGCAUGUAGUCGGUUAGGUUCAGAUUGGAACUACGUGGGUGUGCGACCUCAGGGGAAAAUGUAAGUUGGUUUGAGUUGUGUGUAAGGCGGUGGCCCUUACCUUACUGUAGAGUCAUUUAUUCUUAAAUUGUUUUGUCUAAAUUCCUUUUCGGCCGCCACCUUGAAAAUUGUUUAUUUUGAAUUAAUGCAUUAAUGUAACUUCACUGUCAACUUGGUAUUUAUUGGUAACUGUCUCCCCCUGAGACGUCGUUGUACGUAUUUGAUUAAUUCUCAUUAAUGUAAAUUCCUUCUGUAAUUGUAACUGCACUUUGCAGGAGUUCUGACAAACGUAAUUAUGUAAAGUAUUUCCUUAAUCGUAACUGCACUUCGCAGUAGUUUUGUACAACGUAAUGAAUAUAACAUAUUUCUGUUAUUUUUUAAUUGUAACUGCACCUUGCAGCAGUUUGAAAAAUGUAAAAAUGUUUGGAUUUAACUGCAUACUUGCCACUGCCUUUGCUUCGCGUUAAAUGCGCGUUGUAUAAUGGGAUCGCUUACGGUGUAGCCGGCUUACCUUCGAAACCCGUUUUGUCUAUAAUCAUUGUUUUUGGUUUUUGUAUUUAGCCUUGCUUAAAUUGUAUUAAUUGAACUUCAUCAGUAACCUAAUGUUAUGAUUUAAUGUUUGAAUAAAAUGUCUGUGUACCUGA